This 253-nucleotide ribosomal RNA is filed under the name uncultured bacterium. Its description in RNAcentral is "partial 16S ribosomal RNA". It matches the Rfam family "Bacterial small subunit ribosomal RNA", at positions 524 to 776 of the family's 1533-position model. The record is from RNAcentral.
UACGUAGGGUGCGAGCGUUGUCCGGAAUUAUUGGGCGUAAAGGGCUCGUAGGCGGUUUGUCGCGUCGGGAGUGAAAACACCGGGCUUAACUCGGUGCUUGCUUUCGAUACGGGCAGACUAGAGGUAUGCAGGGGAGAACGGAAUUCCUGGUGUAGCGGUGAAAUGCGCAGAUAUCAGGAGGAACACCGGUGGCGAAGGCGGUUCUCUGGGCAACUACUGACGCUGAGGAGCGAAAGCGUGGGGAGCGAACAGG